AUUGAACGCUGGCGGCAGGCCUAACACAUGCAAGUCGAACGAGUGGCGGACGGGUGAGUUAUGUCUGGGAAACUGCCUGAUGGAGGGGGAUAACUACUGGAAACGGUAGCUAAUACCGCAUCCCAUCGGAUGUGCCCAGAUGGGAUUAGCUUGUAGGUGGGGUAAAGGUUCACCUAGGCGACGAUCCCUAGCUGGUCUGAGAGGAUGACCAGCCACACUGGAACUGAGACACGGUCCAGACUCCGACGGGAGGAAACAGUGGGGAAUAUUGCAAAAUGGGGACAAGCCUGAUUCAGCCAUGCCGCGGGUAUGAAGAAGGCCUUCGGGUUGUAAAGUACUUUCAGCGGGGAGGCGUUACCCGAAGAAGAAGCACCGGCCAACUCCGUGCCAGCAGCCGCGGUAAUAC
Molecule: ribosomal RNA, 406 nt
Filed under: uncultured bacterium
Lineage: Bacteria
Description: partial 16S ribosomal RNA
Rfam family: Bacterial small subunit ribosomal RNA
Source: RNAcentral